GAGAGAGAGAGAGAGAGAGAGGAGAUGGCGGAGAGUAAAAAGAGGCUGGUCUGAGACAUCUGCCACCACUUGUCGUUUUUUAGACCAAAUCAAUCCACUCACCUUCCCCUCAGCCUGGCUCCUCCAUUUUUGGAAUCAAACACAGAAAAAAAAACUGUAAAAUAACAAUAUCCACUCAAUAUUCAACCACACUCUCUCUGCUCUUGCAUUUAUCCUUUUUAAGGUAACAAGCGAUACCCCAGUCACAACCUUCCUCUUCCUGUAAUGGCGGAGACCUUCGACGUUCCUUUUUCUUGUUACCCAUUAUUAUAUACUUAACCUCCUUUUCAUUUGUCUCUGUGUUCAUCUCCUCACUUUUCUACAAUUUAUUUUUUCCGAUUUCUUUUAAUAUUUUUAUUAUGUACACUAGUACAAGCGCCGAGGACUCUCAUGUCUAGUUGUUUACUUUCUACUAUUAUUUUACUUGGAGAGUGAGAAGCAGUCUGAAGCUCAGGGUCACCUUCUUCAUCAGGGGGUCGUUUACAGAUAAAAAUGGCAAAGGAGUACAUUGCAUCACCUAAGCAUCAUCAGCUUGAAUCCAAGAGGAAGCGUCUAACUUGGAUCUUGGGGGUCAGCGGCCUCUGCAUAUUGUUUUACACUUUGGGAGCUUGGCAGAAUACCACCGCUCCCAUCAAUCGAUCUGAGGUCUAUAAUAGAGUAGGUUGUGAAGUUGCAACACCUGGAGCAGCAAAUGAUAAUCCAUCAUCAUCGGUUGUCUUGGACUUCAAUACCCAUCAUCAGAUUGAGAUAAACAAUACUGACUCGGUUGCUAAUUUUCGACCAUGUGAUAUGUCCUACAGUGAGUACACUCCCUGUCAACAUCCACCGAGAGGAAGAAAAUUUGACAGGAACAUGUUGAAAUACAGAGAGAGGCAUUGCCCUACAAAGGAAGAGCUUUUCUUUUGCCUGAUACCUGCUCCACCAAAAUAUAAGACCCCCUUCAAAUGGCCUCAGAGCCGUGACUAUGCUUGGUAUGACAAUAUCCCCCACAGAGAGCUCAGUAUUGAGAAGGCUGUGCAGAAUUGGAUUCAAGUAGAGGGUGACCGCUUCAGAUUCCCUGGGGGAGGCACCAUGUUCCCUCGUGGAGCUGAUGCAUACAUUGAUGACAUAAAUGAGCUUAUUCCUCUUACUGGUGGAACCAUCAGAACUGCAAUUGACACAGGCUGCGGUGUGAGUUUUCCUCCCUAGAUGUUUAUAAAAUUAUCAUGAUGGUUUAAGAAUUUAGUAGUGUUGCGCUAUUCUGAUUUUUCUGUGGUGUCAAGGUCGCAAGUUGGGGUGCCUACCUGUUGAAACGGGACAUUCUGGCUAUGUCUUUUGCACCACGGGAUACACAUGAAGCACAGGUCCAGUUUGCACUGGAGAGGGGAGUUCCUGCUAUGAUUGGCAUCAUGGCUUCGCAAAGGCUUCCUUACCCAGCAAGGGCUUUUGAUAUGGCUCACUGUUCCCGUUGCUUGAUACCUUGGCAUGAUUAUGAUGGUCUGUAUCUAAUUGAAGUGGACAGAGUCUUAAGGCCUGGUGGUUAUUGGAUUCUCUCGGGCCCUCCUAUUAACUGGAAGAAAUACUGGAGAGGUUGGGAAAGAACCCAAGAAGAUUUAAAGCAAGAGCAGGAUGCUAUCGAGGAUGUAGCCAGGCGGUUGUGCUGGAAGAAAGUGAUUGAAAAGAACGAUCUUGCCGUUUGGCAAAAGCCCAUCAACCACUUGGAGUGCAUUAGAAGCAGGAAGGUGUAUAAAACACCACACAUAUGCAAAUCAGACAACCCAGAUGUUGCAUGGUACAAGGAAAUGGAAGCCUGCAUAACCCCACUUCCAGAGGUGAGUAGCUCUGAUGAAGUUGCUGGUGGUGCAUUGGAGAAAUGGCCAGAGCGUGUAUUUGCCAUUCCUCCCAGAAUUCGCAGCGGUUCGAUACCAGGUAUCUCUGCAGAGAAAUUCAAGCGGGAUAAUGAACUGUGGAAGGACAGGGUGACACAUUAUAAGCAAAUUAUCAGGCCCCUGACCCAAGGGCGAUAUCGGAAUGUGAUGGAUAUGAAUGCUUACCUCGGUGGAUUUGCUGCUGCCCUGUUGAAAUAUCCAGUGUGGGUUAUGAACGUGGUACCUGCCAACUCGGAUCGUGACACACUGGGUGUGAUCUUCGAGCGAGGGUUGAUUGGGACCUAUCAGGAUUGGUGUGAGGCAGUGUCGACGUAUCCAAGAACAUAUGAUCUCAUCCAUGCCAGUGGAGUGUUCAGCAUAUAUCAGGACAGGUGUGACAUUACAUACAUCCUGCUGGAGAUUGAUAGAAUUCUGAGGCCGGAAGGGACAGUUAUAUUCAGGGACACGGUAGAGAUCCUCGUGAAGAUUCAGAGCAUAACAAACGGGAUGAAAUGGAAAAGCCAGAUUAUGGACCAUGAAAGUGGACCAUUUAAUCCAGAGAAAAUUCUUGUUGCCAUCAAAACUUACUGGACUGGUGAUACUUCUCAAAAACAACUGUAGUAGUUCUCUUUCUUUUCUUGGGAAUCAUUAAUUUUGUCCAACUUCAAUCAGAUUUUGCUCAAUAGUACAUACAUUUUCCUGUGAACGAGAAAAAGAAUAGGUUUGCCAAGUCCUGUACUUUAUUUAUUUAAGGAUGAAUUAUUUUUUUUGUUCAUGUGUUAUAUCAUAUAGUCACUACUUGAGUCAUUAUAUUUUGAAAAAUAGAUGAAAACAUAUUUAAGUCUUGGUUUCA
This 2739-nucleotide unclassified non-coding RNA is filed under the name Hevea brasiliensis (rubber tree). Lineage: Eukaryota; Viridiplantae; Streptophyta; Magnoliopsida; Malpighiales; Euphorbiaceae. The record is from RNAcentral.